Molecule: transfer RNA, 73 nt
Filed under: Canis lupus familiaris (dog)
Lineage: Eukaryota; Metazoa; Chordata; Mammalia; Carnivora; Canidae
Also listed under: 2 other names
Rfam family: tRNA
About the family: Transfer RNA (tRNA) molecules are approximately 80 nucleotides in length.
Source: Rfam by way of RNAcentral
ACCUGGCUGGUUCACUUGGUAGAGCAUGGGACUCUUUAUCUGGGGGUCAUGAGUUCAAAUCCCAUGUUGGGUG